GUACCCGCGGCAAGACGGAAAGACCCCGUGAACCUUUACUAUAGCUUGACACUGAACAUUGAGCCUUGAUGUGUAGGAUAGGUGGGAGGCUUUGAAGUGUGGACGCCAGUCUGCAUGGAGCCGGCCUUGAAAUACCACCCUUUAAUGUUUGAUGUUCUAACGUUGGCCCGUAAUCCGGGUUGCGGACAGUGUCUGGUGGGUAGUUUGACUGGGGCGGUCUCCUCCUAAAGAGUAACGGAGGAGCACGAAGGUUGGCUAAUCCUGGUCGGACAUCAGGAGGUUAGUGCAAUGGCAUAAGCCAGCUUGACUGCGAGCGUGACGGCGCGAGCAGGUGCGAAAGCAGGUCAUAGUGAUCCGGUGGUUCUGAAUGGAAGGGCCAUCGCUCAACGGAUAAAAGGUACUCCGGGGAUAACAGGCUGAUACCGCCCAAGAGUUCAUAUCGACGGCGGUGUUUGGCACCUCGAUGUCGGCUCAUCACAUCCUGGGGCUGAAGUAGGUCCCAAGGGUAUGGCUGUUCGCCAUUUAAAGUGGUACGCGAGCUGGGUUUAGAACGUCGUGAGACAGUUCGGUCCCUAUCUGCCGUGGGCGCUGGAGAACUGAGGGGGGCUGCUCCUAGUACGAGAGGACCGGAGUGGACGCAUCACUGGUGUUCGGGUUGUCAUGCCAAUGGCACUGCCCGGUAGCUAAAUGCGGAAGAGAUAAGUGCUGAAAGCAUCUAAGCACGAAACUUGCC
RNAcentral lists this ribosomal RNA (733 nucleotides) under Escherichia coli. RNAcentral describes it as "partial 23S ribosomal RNA". It matches the Rfam family "Bacterial large subunit ribosomal RNA", at positions 2066 to 2798 of the family's 2925-position model. The record is from RNAcentral. Lineage: Bacteria; Pseudomonadati; Pseudomonadota; Gammaproteobacteria; Enterobacterales; Enterobacteriaceae.